GCAGCUCCCUUGGUAGAGCAUGAGACCCUUAAUCUCAGGGUUGUGGGUUCGAGCCCCACACUGGGCA
This 67-nucleotide transfer RNA is filed under the name Podarcis lilfordi (Lilford's wall lizard). RNAcentral's name for it is "tRNA.Lys". The stretch from base 3 to 59 matches the Rfam family "tRNA", at positions 9 to 63 of the family's 71-position model. Rfam says of the family: Transfer RNA (tRNA) molecules are approximately 80 nucleotides in length. Their secondary structure includes four short double-helical elements and three loops (D, anti-codon, and T loops). The record is from RNAcentral. Lineage: Eukaryota; Metazoa; Chordata; Lepidosauria; Squamata; Lacertidae.